UUGUUUGCUUCGUGGACACGAACGGACCAAAUGGGUCGUUGGAGUUGACCGCACUGGCCGUUCCCAAUUCCGGGUCCGCCGUCGCCAGUCGCCACCGCCGCCGACCAUGGCCUCCCCGCCCUCCCCACCGCCGCCGCCCGCUCCCACCACCAUAUUCGAUCUCGGCGACGACCUCCUCCGCGAGAUCUUCCUCCGCCUCCCCGCCCUCCCGACCCUCGUCCGCGCCGCCUGCGCCUGCCGCGCCUUCCGCCGCGCCGCCCGCACGUUCACCUCCUUCCGCCGCAGCUUCCGCGAGCGCCACGCGCCGCCCGUGCUCGCGCUCUUCCUCGAGCCCAACAUGGAGGUCGUCCCGCUCCACCCCUGCCCCUGGCGCCGCCGCGACCCGGACCUCGUCGCCGCCGAUUUCUUUGACGUCCGCCACGGCGACGCCCUCUCCUCCGGGUGGAAGAUCAAUUCCGAGACUCCUAGCUCCGGCGGCUACCUCAUCCUCGACAACUGGAGCGAGGGCGCUCAGCGGGUAGCCGCCUACAGCCCGCUGACGCAGGUCCUAGAUCUGUUCCUCGAUCUGCCGCCGGUGGGAAAGAUCUACCUUGAAUUCUACACGCUCCUCCCCGAAGACGGCCGGAGGCCGUCCCGCGUGGUCUGUGUGCGUGUAGACGGCCAACGGGCGGAGCGCGCCGCCGUCUUCUCAUCGGACACCAUGGAGUGGCAAAUUUUCCCAGAGACUACGCUGCAGCUGACUGUAUCUGACAGGCUCAGGGCCAGCGGAGUGGUGCAUGGGCUCGUUUACUGGAGAGGCUGGAUGCAUGACCAAAUUGUUGUGCUCGAAACCAUGACCUUUCAGUUCUCCCUGAUUGAUCUGCCGGCGCCUUUGAAACCGGAGUUGGGUGAAUCAACAUAUAAGCUUGGUGAGACCAAGGAUGGGAAGCUCUGCAUCGUAGAUAUAAAGGAUAACACCAUUGUUUCUUGGUUCCUGGACAAUGGCAGUGUCCUCAACAGCUGGAUUACGUACAAGAAUUUCCCAUUGCGCCCAAUUGUUAGGGAGCUCACUGGGUGCUCAAUGGAGGAAGAGGAUUAUUGUAAUGUCAAUGUGGACCUUGUGGCAGUUAUCGAUGGCUUUGUCUACCUCUGUAUUUUCUACCUCAAGGACACAGAAUAUCGUGAGCUGUACCUGUCAAUAUGCCUGGAAACAUCAGAUAUGUGCAAGCUCUAUAAUUGUGCAUAUCGGCAUAAUGAGGCGGCCCAUCCCUAUGUCAUGGCAUGGCCUCCCUCUUUGGUACAAAGCAAGGUGAGCCUGUGCUUAUAUGUAAGAGUUUCUUCCAGUGCCUUGUUCAUAGAUAAUAUGCUGUUAUGUAACUUAAAGGCAUUGGAUUAUUGUGUUGUGAAAGGCCACUGCCUGAUUCUUAUCUCAAUUUUAAACAGUAGCAUGUCUGAUUUGCCUAGACCAUAUUAUAAGAAUUUGAUUGCAGGUUUUAUAUUAGUGCACAGAAGGAAUACUUUAAAUUUUAGCAUGCGUAGCAGAUUAUGUGAUAUCUGAACCUCUUGACAGGCCGCUCAAAUGAGGAUGCAAUACUCUAAAUUUUAACAUUAACAUUGGUUUAUCGUGUUCUGAACGGCUGGUAUCGACUCUUAUCUUAAGUUUAAACAUGUUUGAUUUGUAUGAAUCAUGUUACAAAAAUUCGUUUGCAGAUUGUUUGUUAGUAGUACGAUCAUAUUAUACAGUGCUGCACAGAGAACUGAGAUUGCAGAUGGAACUGAGAUGGCAUUGUGGAACAGUAUCAUGUUUCAUCUUCACUACCUUUGUAGUAAGAGCUAAUGAGGAAUCAGAAACUGAAGAUGAUGAUCCCAAGGACACAGAAGAAACUUCCUCUGUCCUCAUCGCUGCACUGCAGUCUUUCAGCCAAGCUUUGAUGAAUGCUGAUAAAGAAAAAGAAAUCGUGGCAGAGUUUGAUGCCUUCUUGCGUCCCGCCAAAGAUGGCAAGGGCUCUCUUAUCAGCAGAAUCGCCACUUUGGAUGUGCAGAUGACGACCGCGAGAAACCGUAUCCUGAGGAUAAGUGAAUG
This is an RNA transcript of Triticum aestivum (bread wheat), 2062 nucleotides long. RefSeq lists it as uncharacterized. NCBI's taxonomy places the organism in Eukaryota, Viridiplantae, Streptophyta, Magnoliopsida, Poales, Poaceae. The record is from RefSeq and is a predicted model, not a curated record. The transcript is spliced from 2 exons.